GUCAGUUCAUGUGCAUAUGGCAGAAAUGUUCAGAAAAAUCAAUAAAAAGACGUAAACAAACAGACGAUUAACACUAUUAACAGCAAUUAUGCAAUCAAACUUAUAGCAAAAUGUGGUAGUUCUGUAUGUUGUCUCUGGGUUAGCAUCAUCUGAGGUCCUCUGAGGGGCUGGCAUCAUCUCUUCUCAGGUGUUCUGGAUCCAGACUGGAGCUUGUGUAAAUCCUAGUUACCACGGGAUGUAAAUCCCGUGGCAAAGCAGAGAAACAAAUAGAGACAUAAUUAGCGUAGCUGCUGUUCCAGCCAAGUAAAAUUAAUUUGUUUAACCCAAGCUAAAGAAUAAUAAUGCACAUUUGAUCAGAUAUAACUGCAGUCCAAAAUUAUGAGAUGCAUUAUUUGAAUGCUUGGCCAAAGAGGUGUGUUUUUAAUCUAGAUUUAAACAGAGAGAGUGUGUCUGAGCCCCGAACAUUAUCAGGAAGGCUAUUCCAGAGUUUGGGAGCCAAAUGCGAAAAAGCUCUACCUCCUUUAGUGGACUUUGUUAUCCUAGGUACUAUCAAAAGUCCAGCGUUUUGUGACCUUAGGGAGCGUGAUGGGUUGUAGCGUGGUAGAAGACUAGUUAGGUACGCAGGAGCUAAGCCAUUAAGGGCUUUAUAAGUAAGUAAUAAUAUUUUGUAACUGAUACGGAACUUAAUAGGUAGCCAGUGCAGAGACUGUAGUACUGGGGUAAUAUGAUCAUAUUUUCUUGACCUGGUAAGGACUCUAGCCGCUGCAUUUUGGACUACCUGUAGCUUGUUUAUUGAGGAUGCAGGACAACCACCUAGCAGUGCAUUACAAUAGUCCAGUCUAGAGGUCAUAAAUGCAUGAACUAGCUUUUCUGCAUCAGGAACAGGUAACAUGUUUCGUAGCUUGGCAAUGUUUCUAAGAUGGAAGAAUGCUGUUUUUGUAACAUGGGAAAUAUGAUUUUCAAAAGACAAGUUACUGUCUAAUAUAACACCCAGAUUUUUUACAGUAGAGGAAGUAACAUUACAUCCGUCUAG
Molecule: long non-coding RNA, 1033 nt
Organism: Cyprinus carpio carpio
Lineage: Eukaryota; Metazoa; Chordata; Actinopteri; Cypriniformes; Cyprinidae
Source: Ensembl